CCCAGUUCUCUUGUAGGGAAAAACUAUGUAUGUGAUUAGGUAGGACAGUUAAAACUUACAGAGGAAGAAAGACCCCUGCCUUCAAAAUCUUUCCUAUUUGUAUCUGUAAGACAACAGUUUACUUUGACAUGGUUCAUACCCAUCUACAUAUAUAUAUAUAUAUAUUUUGGAAUUUACUAAACCUUGUCACCUGACCUUCUAAGAUAACCUAAUAUAGGAACAAAUUAGCAUAUAAUUCUAUUUUCCAUAUGACCUCUGCCACUUGCAGAAUUGUACCACCCCCUUUCGGGGGUGGUUUAGUCCCUUAUUCAUACCGUAGCCUUGGUGUUUGCAAAGGCUGUGUGCACCCACGCUGACGUUUUUGUUAUUGAAAACAUCUUAAAGUAGCAGUUAGAGGAAGCACUUCACCCCAUUAUCAAGUUAUUAAAAUGUCUCCACAAGGUAGCAUUUUCAGUUAGUGUCCACAAUUGAUUAGUAGGUUGUCUUCUCCCACAUAUGAAGCAGCAUGGCCAAGUUAAGUUGUAAUCAGUGGUGUACAAGAUAUUAAGGGCUGACAAGGAUUGUGACAAAUAAUUAUUAUUUUUCGAUUCAGCCAGUGUUCCUGGGUUUCCUGAGCUCUCAUUCUGUCUGGAUGUAAAGUAUGCAGAGCAUGCCGGUGCCUGGGAGAUGCUGCUGUGCUUAGAGGCAGCUGUUGAUGGACUGCAGUAUUCUAACAGCUCCAACGCAGCCUCUGGGCAGAAGUGACAGGAACCUAGGAGCACAUUAAAACUUCAAAACAAAGCAGUGGACUCUUGCAGUUUUUCCAUUCUGAAGACAGGAGCAUGAGACCAGGAGAGAGUCAAGAAAAUGCAGAUCUGGGGUCAAACAACUCAUCCUUGCAAUUGCCAUGAAGAGUCUUCAGUGACUUGUCUCCUCAAGGCUUCAGAACAUUCAGGAAUGUUCCCUUCUCUGAGCUGGGAGAGCAGAGAAGCCGAAGCAUCAAGAGAUUGGCCCCAGGUCAAACCACUGCUAGCUCCUUCAGGUGGGCAUGGGGCCUCUGCUUUCAAGGCUCAUGGGGUUUGCCUACUACCCCAAAAUAUAAAUGUGGGUUGAAUAACAGAGUGAUUAAUUUCACUUUCAGUGCCUUCCUUCUCGAGCUGGAGUGCUUCUGUAGAGACUCCUAAUUCGGUGAAACCUGUUUAGGGGAUCAUCCCUGCUAGACAGACAGCUGCGAGAGGGCAUUCGCUUCCCAGCAUGGAUUUCAGAUUAUGGCCAAUCAAGAGCCGGAGCUAAGGAACACCUGUCAACGGCGCUUGCUACAAGGAGACCAGCUCUUUAAUCGAAUUUCAUUGUACUUCAGAAAAAGGUUUAUUUUAAAUGUGGCGUCUGCUUUUAUGAUUCAUCCUUCUCAGCUGAGACAUCAAUUUGGGGCUUAUUUAUGAUGUUGUUCUAGGGUGAAACAAGACACUGCAAGAAAGUAUUUCAAAAAGGCAGCCUUUCCCAGACAUUCAGUUUGCAGCUUUCCUCGUGUGGAAAAAUAAAAAAGAAAUUUAAAACGUUAGUUUUGAGCUU
This is a long non-coding RNA of Meriones unguiculatus (Mongolian gerbil), 1551 nucleotides long. Lineage: Eukaryota; Metazoa; Chordata; Mammalia; Rodentia; Muridae. The record is from Ensembl.